UGCCGCUCACGCCCGGUC
Molecule: small RNA, 18 nt
Filed under: Arabidopsis thaliana (thale cress)
Lineage: Eukaryota; Viridiplantae; Streptophyta; Magnoliopsida; Brassicales; Brassicaceae
Description: Ath_wt_05084
Source: RNAcentral